GAUCCCGGAAGGAGCCGAAGCGACAAUGCGGGGGAAGAGAUAGAGUCUUCCUCUGUCGCCUAGGCUGGAGUGCAGUGGCGCGAUCUCGGCGCACCGCAACCUCUGCCUCCCGGGUUCAAGCGAAUUCUCCUGCCUCAGCCUCCGGAGUAGCUGGGAUUACAGAUGUGCUCCACCAUGCCCGGCUAAUUUUUGUAUUUUUAGUAGAGAUGGGGGGGUUUCACCAUGUUGGCCAGGCUGGUCUCGAACUCCUGACCUUGUGAUCCACUAGCUUCGGCCUCCCGAAGUUCUGGGAUUACAGGCAUGAGCCACCACACCCGGAUGAAUUAUGCCAUUUUUAAGGCAAAGCAGCGGUGAUGGUGGGUGAUGGAGUGACAUCAGGAGCGCCAGAAGGAGGAAGUCAGAAAGCCCUUGGGGACAGGAAUGUCCUUGUGUUGCAAACAUUUCUGGUCAGGGAAAGAUGAAGAAAACAGAAUGAGUUUCUGAUAACAGUGUUCCCAACACUUAAUGGUUAAAAGAAGCUUUGAGGAACACCAUAUUUCAGCCCUAUGGAACAGUGAACAAAAAGGAAAAAGCCAGUAAGACUGAUGGUUCUGUAUAAGAUGUCCACUUCUGCAUGAUCUGCUCCAGACAACAAAUGAAAUGCUCUUAUUAUUCCUGUCCCACUCUUGUCUCCCUACAGGCUAACCUCAUCUUUCACAAUCACUAUUUUCACAAUCGAGCUUUGAGAAGCUGAAAAGUCAGCAGGCUAUCUUGGCAAACCCACUAUAGUGUUCUAAAUUCUUUGUCAAAAUUAACCUUUUACAAUCUCUUGGCACUUGGAAGUAGGGGAAGAGUCCAACUGAAAGUGCAGUUUGAUCUCAUGGAGAAAAGUGAUGACACUUACCAAUUCCCCAGACCUGAGACUAAGAAAAUAACCUUGGCCAACAUGCAAAAAAAAUAUAUAUUAAUGAGAGGAGAUACACUAAAUAUAUUUUACUCAUCUCAGCAUAGCUUUCUCACAGGCAGUAUAGAGAAUGAUACAUAUAAAGAAGAGGAAAUGGCAGCCCUUACUCCAAAGGUUAAGAGGGAAUUAGGAACAAAAAGAAGGGUUUGGAAGAACUAAGGAAGAGAGUGCAAUCAGAGCAUCGGAAGGUCCAAGACUUGUCAGACAUAGGUGCAUUCCAGCCCAACAACAGUGUGGGGCAUGUUGGUCUAAGGGCAUCUUACCUCCAAGAACUGCUUGAGGCGUAUGAAGGAGCCCAUCUGUCCUGAGCUUGUGAUAGCUUCAAUUCUACAGGGAGAGAAAGACACAUGAAUCACACCUAUGAUAUACACCUAUCUUUUGGAAACGGUGUCUCACUCUGUCACCUAGGCUGGAGUGCAGCGCGGUGGUGCGAUCAUAGCUCACCGAGGCCUUGAACUCUUGGGCUCAAGCGAUCCUCCUGUCUCAGCUUCCCUAGUAGCUGGGACUAUAGAUGCAUGCCAUCAUGCCUGGCUAAUUUUUUUUUUGUAGAGAUGGGGUCUUGCUAUAUUGCCCAGGCUGGUUUUGAACACCUGGGCUCAAGUGAUCCUCCUCCUGUGGCCUCCCAAAGAGCUGCAAUUAUAGGCAUAAUUAUAGGCAUAAGCCACUGUGCUCAGCCCCUAAUUUGUGUUUUUGUUUGGGCAAUGAUAUUUAAGACAGACUCUCAUUAAGGUUCAAAAGCAUUUAUUCAAAUAUCAACGAGAGGGACUGGAGUAGGAAAGAUGUCAUACUUAGUACAGGUGUUUUUAACUUGAAUCAAAACCAGCAGGUAAUAGCACCCUUGGGUAUCUGAGGCCUGGUUAUGAGUUACUUAAUCCCCUGCUGUCUGCUCAACAAGCCUGAUACCUGGGAAAGUAGUCCUCUUUGAUGAGAAUUAGCAUCUUCCAGAACUGAACCUGGUAUUGCUUCAUGAGGGCAUUCCCACACACCUAGAGGGAAAGACAGGCACUGUCAGAGCAGAAAAUGAAAAUUCACACUCACAGGACAGAUUCAUAAAGCACAAUCAGCCCUUCAUCUUUCACACCUAUCAAAAAUUUCAACCACAAUGCCACUGAACUUGCUAACAA
Long non-coding RNA from Homo sapiens (human), 2067 nucleotides. The record is from Ensembl. NCBI's taxonomy places the organism in Eukaryota, Metazoa, Chordata, Mammalia, Primates, Hominidae.